This 21-nucleotide non-coding RNA is filed under the name Arabidopsis thaliana (thale cress). Lineage: Eukaryota; Viridiplantae; Streptophyta; Magnoliopsida; Brassicales; Brassicaceae. The record is from RNAcentral.
AAAGGGUGUUGGUCGAUUAAG